AAGCUGUCAGUGCACCUCAAGAUCUGUGCACAGCCAGGACAGAGCUGCUUUGAGUUUCAGCUGUGAAAUACUGUGUGGUGUGCCAGAGUAAACUGGGGAACAGAGGGACAGGGAUUUCAGGGAACAAGUACCUGCUCUUUAGGGAGAAGAGCUGAGAACCGCACCUUAAACCUUCAUUUCUCCUUAGUGUGUGUGCAGGGUGAUGUGCUGUUCUGUGCACAUCUGUGCUGUUCUGUCUUAUGGGAACUAAUACCAUGCUUGCUGUCAGUUUGGAGAUUUCAUACUGUUCCACCCCCACCCGUCAGAACAUUUCAUUACAUCUCUCAGGCAAUAGAAAGGACUUUUUGAUUAUUAGGUAAGUCAUUAUAUUACUAGAUAUGUUUUUGAAUAUAUGGGCAGAGCUGUAAUUUUAUAAGUCUGUCAGAUGGCAGGAAACAACAGAGAAUAAGGGGAAAACCAUCAAUUCCUACCUCCAUAUAGCUCAUAUUGCUAAACUAGUUACCCCCCACUUGUAACUGGGAAUUUAGAAGUGUGAGUAUUGCUAAAAAAAGCCUUGGCACUGCUUACAGCAAACUUCAGGGGUCAUUUGAAAGCUGUGGGCAAUCCAGGACAUCCUACACUGGAAAUUUGGACAGAUAUCCCAAAAAGCCUUGGGCUUAACACCAAGUUCUGCAUUUCCAGUCUGCACUCACUGCUGGAGAAUGGAUAUUUGCAGAGCCUGAGCUACAGCAUCUUUAUAAGUUAAGCAAUAAAUAAAAAUUUAAUUCAUAAUCUUGGUGUAUUCUUCAACUCAGAAUUAAAAUUUUCAUGUCUUUUCCACUUGUAGAUCUACUUCUACCACAGUCAGUGAUAUUAUAUCACUGCAGAAAGACAUCUCUUACAAUUGUAUUUUACAAGGCAACUGAGUGCCAGUGUCACUAUGCAGUGUCCUUUGGCAAUUGUAGAGACAUCUCCUCCAGAAUAUGGAAAUAUUCACUUGUGCAUGUGCAUUUUCCUGGAUGCUUAUCCCCUAGAACUUUUAAAUUAAUGCUCUAUUCUGAUCACCAGGCGUGCAAUUUGGCAAUGUCCUGUUGUAUACAUUGAGUGUGAAGGCACACAAGAGAAAAUGUGACUCCCCAUCCUGUGAAGAAGUUUUCUGUAUGUGAGAUCUUAGGACCUGAGUUAGUUUACACUGACUCAGGGGCAGAACAGAAUCCUGUCAGAAGGUGACACAGAAUGGAUUCUGCAGGGUAGAGCCAUUUCCAAAAGAUCUGCUCCACAUCUUCUCCAUACUAAGACUCUGACAGCGCACAUUGCAACACAUCUCUCACCACAAGAAGCACUAUUUCAUUCCAGAAACAUUCCAUCCCGCACUAAAGGAUGGCACUGAGAAACUUCACUGACUGUCCAUCUAAAUUUCUCGUCUUAUUCCACUGUUUUACAUGAUGGUUUUGGUCUCCUUAAUGCCAUCUCACAGAUUUAGACAAGAAUUCUUUUACUCACUAAGAAGUCAAAUAAGGGGCUAAUUUUUUGCAGGCAGUGCAUAAACAUACACUGGAAACAUACACUGGACCAGAUAUUCCUAUCAAAAGCAGAUAAACAUGAAUAGAUCCUAGAUCAAACAAGGGAUUCAGGGUACUUGCGGUUCAGUUGUUUUGGUUUAACUAUCAGCUUGUCUACAGGAACAAAUCAGCUGUGAAUACUAAAAGUUCUUAGCAGAGACUUUUUUUCUGGGCGUGUGCAAUGCUCUAAAUUUAUUUUCGUCCCUUACCACAAUAUUUCCUGUAAGUUGACCAGACUGUAUCACAGAAACUCCAGGCAGAAAAUUGAUGAACAUCAAAAAUCCAUAGUUAAAGCCUCUCCCUCAGCUCUGGAGCCACCACACAUGCUGUUGAUACAGCCUUUUGUGAGGAAGGGGCAUGGUACCACCACAGUGAUGUUUCCACAACCAAGGUGCAGAUGUGAGAUGAAUGGCCAAGAUGAAUCCCAAGAUGAAGGAGUGCCUCAAGAGUAAAGUAAACUGCAAAUCACCAGGAAAAGAAAGAAAAAAUACCCAGGAGAAAGAAUAAACCAGAAGAGAAGAAAACAACCAGUAUCUUUCUCACCAAAGCUCCUGGAGAAUCUCCUUGUUAAAACCAAGCAAACACCUUUCAGCAAGGCUAGUGUGCUAGACAGCAUCACCAGCCACUGGGGAAAUUGGAAGGCACCUUCAAUCUUCUGGAUAUUCCAUAUUUGGGAAUAUCUACUGCAACAGAAACUGGCCAAAAGCAGCAAUUUUAUGGCAGUGUGGAAGAAUGGGGAUAUGUGGCUUCUUUGGGGCAUGGAAAGAGCUGACAGAAAUGUUUCCUCUCCAGCUUGACAUUAUCCCUAGGAAUAUUCUGUUCCACAUCACCUGAGGGACAAGCUGAGUGUCUCUGAGCCCCCAGGGUUUCUGUCUCCUAUCAAGCACUGAGAGCACAGCUGAAAUUCUGGAGCACAGGCAGCCCCAGACACCCCCACACUGCAGUUUGAGUGCUGCUGCACUUUCCUUGGGCAGGAUUUGGUGCCACAAGAGUGCAGAGUCUGGAAGAGAGACCUGAAGUGCUUACAGCAGGCUGCAUUGCUAAACAGCCACUCACAUGCCACGAGCCACUGUCUUGUGUUUCCAGUCAGCUGAAAUUACAAUUCCUGUGCCUGGAACACAAAGGUCUUCAGCACAAGGACAGCAGAACAAUCUCACCAUGUUCUGGUGGGCUUUCCACAAACCACUUGGCAGUAGCUUUAUUCCUUCCUGUGCAAAUGUUCAGGUUAACCUCAGCAAGCAUGAGCUUUGAAUACCUGCUCUGGGAGUCCAUACUACCCAUGGAGAAAAGGAUUUCUAGUUAAAAUUGCACUGUGGGCAGGACACACUCGAUUCCUCUCCCUCUGUGCAUGGGCUAGAGGAGAUGUGGUUUGAACACUUCCAGUUCUGGAAAC
This is a long non-coding RNA of Passer domesticus (house sparrow), 2934 nucleotides long. RefSeq lists it as uncharacterized. NCBI's taxonomy places the organism in Eukaryota, Metazoa, Chordata, Aves, Passeriformes, Passeridae. The record is from RefSeq and is a predicted model, not a curated record. The transcript is spliced from 3 exons.